UGGGGAAUUUUGGACAAUUGGGCGAAAGCCUGAUCCAGCAAUGCCGCGUGUGUGAAGAAGGCCUUCGGGUUGUAAAGCACUUUUGUCCGGAAAGAAAUCCUUGGCUCUAAUACAGUCGGGGGAUGACGGUACCGGAAGAAUAAGCACCGGCUAACUACGUGCCAGCAGCCGCGGUAAUACGUAGGGUGCAAGCGUUAAUCGGAAUUACUGGGCAUAAAGCGUGCGCAGGCGGUUUGCUAAGACCGAUGUGAAAUCCCCGGGCUCAACCUGGGAACUGCAUUGGUGACUGGCAGGCUAGAGUAUGGCAGAGGGGGGUAGAAUUCCACGUGUAGCAGUGAAAUGCGUAGAGAUGUGGAGGAAUACCGAUGGCGAAGGCAGCCCCCUGGGCCAAUACUGACGCUCAUGCACGAAAGCGUGGGGAGCAAACAGGACUAGAUACCCUGGUAGUCCACGCCCUAAACGAUGUCAACUAGUUGUUGGGGAUUCAUUUCCUUAGUAACGUAGCUAACGCGUGAAGUUGACCGCCUGGGGAGUACGGUCGCAAGAUUAAAACUUAAAUGAAUUGACGGGGUCAUAGCUGUUUCCU
Molecule: ribosomal RNA, 586 nt
Filed under: uncultured bacterium
Lineage: Bacteria
Description: partial 16S ribosomal RNA
Rfam family: Bacterial small subunit ribosomal RNA
Source: RNAcentral